This 86-nucleotide small RNA is filed under the name Pongo abelii (Sumatran orangutan). RNAcentral's name for it is "processed transcript". Lineage: Eukaryota; Metazoa; Chordata; Mammalia; Primates; Hominidae. The record is from RNAcentral.
UUAACACUGUAUUUUAGCUCAGGCAGUUCCGGCGAGGGGGGAGCCUCAGCAGGAUUGCUGUGUGAAAACCGAGCUGCUGGGAGAAG